RNAcentral lists this transfer RNA (73 nucleotides) under bacterium. RNAcentral describes it as "tRNA-Arg". It matches the Rfam family "tRNA". Rfam says of the family: Transfer RNA (tRNA) molecules are approximately 80 nucleotides in length. Their secondary structure includes four short double-helical elements and three loops (D, anti-codon, and T loops). The record is from RNAcentral.
GCCCUUGUAGCUCAGCGGAUAGAGCGAGGCUCUUCUAAGGCCUGCGUCAGAGGUUCGAUUCCUUUCAGGGGCG